RNAcentral lists this ribosomal RNA (301 nucleotides) under uncultured bacterium. RNAcentral describes it as "partial 16S ribosomal RNA". It matches the Rfam family "Bacterial small subunit ribosomal RNA", at positions 509 to 809 of the family's 1533-position model. The record is from RNAcentral.
CAGUAGCCACGGUAAUACAGAGGGUGCGAGCGUUAAUCGGAUUUACUGGGCGUAAAGCGUGCGUAGGCGGCUUCUUAAGUCGGAUGUGAAAUCCCCGGGCUCAACCUGGGAACUGCAUUUGUGACUGUAUAGCUAGAGUACGGCAGAGGGGGAUGGAAUUCCGCGUGUAGCAGUGAAAUGCGUAGAUAUGCGGAGGAACACCGAUGGCGAAGGCAAUCCCCUGGGCCUGUACUGACGCUCAUGCACGAAAGCGUGGGGAGCAAACAGGAUUAGAUACCCCGGUAGUCCCUGUCUCUUAUAA